RNAcentral lists this ribosomal RNA (458 nucleotides) under uncultured Schlesneria sp. Its description in RNAcentral is "bacterial SSU rRNA". It matches the Rfam family "Bacterial small subunit ribosomal RNA", at positions 917 to 1366 of the family's 1533-position model. The record is from RNAcentral. Lineage: Bacteria; Pseudomonadati; Planctomycetota; Planctomycetia; Planctomycetales; Planctomycetaceae.
GGGCUCACACAAGCGGUGGAGCAUGUGGCUUAAUUCGAGGCAACGCGAAGAACCUUAUCCUGGGUUUGACAUGCAUGGAUUAACCCAAUGAAAGUUGGGCCACGCUCGCAAGAGUGGAACAUGCACAGGUGCUGCAUGGCUGUCGUCAGCUCGUGUCGUGAGAUGUCGCGUUAAGUCGCUAAACGAGCGAAACCCUUAUCCUUAGUUGCCAGCGAGUAAUGUCGGGGACUCUAAGGAGACUGCCGGUGUCAAACCGGAGGAAGGCGGGGAUGACGUCAAGUCCUCAUGGCCUUUAUGCCCAGGGCUGCACACGUGCUACAAUGGGGCGUACAAAGCGCUGCAAGCCUGCGAAGGCAAGCGAAUCGCAAAAAGCGUCCCUCAGUUCGGAUUGCAGGCUGCAACUCGCCUGCAUGAAGCCGGAAUCGCUAGUAAUCGCAGAUCAGCAUUGCUGCGGUGAA